This 404-nucleotide ribosomal RNA is filed under the name uncultured bacterium. Its description in RNAcentral is "bacterial SSU rRNA". It matches the Rfam family "Bacterial small subunit ribosomal RNA", at positions 362 to 758 of the family's 1533-position model. The record is from RNAcentral.
UUUUGGACAAUGGGCGAAAGCCUGAUCCAGCAAUGCCGCGUGCAGGAAGAAGGCCUUCGGGUUGUAAACUGCUUUUGUACGGAACGAAACGGUCCUUUCUAAUAAAGAGGGCUAAUGACGGUACCGUAAGAAUAAGCACCGGCUAACUACGUGCCAGCAGCCGCGGUAAUACGUAGGGCGCGAGCGUUAAUCGGAAUUACUGGGCGUAAAGCGUGCGCAGGCGGUUCUAUAAGACAGAUGUGAAAUCCCCGGGCUCAACCUGGGAAUGGCAUUUGUGACUGUAGAGCUAGAGUACGGUAGAGGGGGAUGGAAUUCCGCGUGUAGCAGUGAAAUGCGUAGAUAUGCGGAGGAACACCGAUGGCGAAGGCAAUCCCCUGGACCUGUACUGACGCUCAUGCACGAAA